GCUAUCGAGUGUGAGAGAGGAGGGGUAGUACGGAGGGUGGGAGCGUUGGCCUGAGUUUUGGGGGGUGAAGUGCUCGUAGGCGGGUGGUCACGUUGGGAGGGAAAAGUCGGGGAUCAACCCCGAGCCUGCUUCCGAUACGGGCAGACUAGAGGUAUGCAGGGGAGAACGGAAUUCCUGGUGUAGCGGUGAAAUGCGCAGAUAUCAGGAGGAACACCGGUGGCGAAGGCGGUUCUCUGGGCAUUACCUGACGCUGAGGAGCGAAAGUGUGGGGAGCGAACAGGAUUAGAUACCCGAGUAGUC
This 300-nucleotide ribosomal RNA is filed under the name uncultured Halobellus sp. Its description in RNAcentral is "bacterial SSU rRNA". The stretch from base 53 to 300 matches the Rfam family "Bacterial small subunit ribosomal RNA", at positions 548 to 795 of the family's 1533-position model. The record is from RNAcentral. Lineage: Archaea; Methanobacteriati; Methanobacteriota; Halobacteria; Halobacteriales; Haloferacaceae.